AUGCACGCUGGCGGCGUGCCUAAUACAUGCCAGUCGAGCGAACGGACGAGAAGCUUGCUUCUCUGAUGUUAGCGGCGGACGGGUGAGUAACACGUGGAUAACCUACCUAUAAGACUGGGAUAACUUCAGGAAACCGUAGCUAAUACCGGAUAAUAUUUUGAACCGCAUGGUUCAAAAGUGAAAGACGGUCUUGCUGUCACUUAUAGAUGGAUCCGCGCUGCAUUAGCUAGUUGGUAAGGUAACGGCUUACCAAGGCCACGAUGCAUAGCCGACCUGAGAGGGUGAUCGGCCACACUGGAACUGAGACACGGUCCAGACUCCUACGGGAGGCAGCAGUAGGGAAUCUUCCGCAAUGGGCGAAAGCCUGACGGAGCAACGCCGCGUGAGUGAUGAAGGUCUUCGGAUCGUAAAACUCUGUUAUUAGGGAAGAACAUAUGUGUAAGUAACUGUGCACAUCUUGACGGUACCUAAUCAGAAAGCCACGGCUAACUACGUG
RNAcentral lists this ribosomal RNA (496 nucleotides) under uncultured bacterium. Its description in RNAcentral is "partial 16S ribosomal RNA". It matches the Rfam family "Bacterial small subunit ribosomal RNA", at positions 29 to 507 of the family's 1533-position model. The record is from RNAcentral.